This 429-nucleotide ribosomal RNA is filed under the name uncultured bacterium. Its description in RNAcentral is "bacterial SSU rRNA". It matches the Rfam family "Bacterial small subunit ribosomal RNA", at positions 101 to 526 of the family's 1533-position model. The record is from RNAcentral.
AACGGGUGAGUAAUACAUCGGAACGUGCCCGAGAGUGGGGGAUAACGAGGCGAGAGCUUUGCUAAUACCGCAUACGAUCUCAGGAUGAAAGCAGGGGACCGCAAGGCCUUGCGCUCACGGAGCGGCCGAUGGCAGAUUAGGUAGUUGGUGGGAUAAAAGCUUACCAAGCCGACGAUCUGUAGCUGGUCUGAGAGGACGACCAGCCACACUGGGACUGAGACACGGCCCAGACUCCUACGGGAGGCAGCAGUGGGGAAUUUUGGACAAUGGGCGCAAGCCUGAUCCAGCCAUGCCGCGUGCAGGAUGAAGGCCUUCGGGUUGUAAACUGCUUUUGUACGGAACGAAAAGACUCUGGUUAAUACCUGGGGUCCAUGACGGUACCGUAAGAAUAAGCACCGGCUAACUACGUGCCAGCAGCCGCGGUAAUAC